UGGGGAAUAUUGCGCAAUGGGGGAAACCCUGACGCAGCAACGCCGCGUGAAGGAUGAAGGCUUUCGGGUUGUAAACUUCUUUGAUGGGGGACGAAGGAAGUGACGGUACCCCAAAAACAAGCCACGGCUAACUACGUG
This 138-nucleotide ribosomal RNA is filed under the name uncultured bacterium. RNAcentral describes it as "partial 16S rRNA". It matches the Rfam family "Bacterial small subunit ribosomal RNA", at positions 355 to 507 of the family's 1533-position model. The record is from RNAcentral.